CGGGAAACUGGGGAUAAUACCCCAUAGGUUAGGGUGGCUGGAAUGCCCCCUAGCUCAAAGGUCCGCCGCCACAGGAUGGGUCUGCGGCCGAUUAGGUUGUUGUUGGGGUAACGGCCCAACAAGCCUUUGAUCGGUACGGGUUGUGGGAGCAAGAGCCCGGAGAUGGAUUCUGAGACACGAAUCCAGGCCCUACGGGGCGCAGCAGGCGCGAAAACUUUACAAUGCGAGCAAUCGUGAUAAGGGAACCCCGAGUGCCACGAAAGGCGGGAUGUCCGCCAGUGCAAAAAACUGGUGAAGAAAGAGCCGGGCAAGACCGGUGCCAGCCGCCGCGGUAACA
This 337-nucleotide ribosomal RNA is filed under the name uncultured archaeon. RNAcentral's name for it is "partial 16S ribosomal RNA". It matches the Rfam family "Archaeal small subunit ribosomal RNA", at positions 133 to 475 of the family's 1478-position model. The record is from RNAcentral.